GAUGAACGCUGGCGGCGUGCCUAAUACAUGCAAGUCGAGCGAACGGACGAGAAGCUUGCUUCUCUGAUGUUAGCGGCGGACGGGUGAGUAACACGUGGAUAACCUACCUAUAAGACUGGGAUAACUUCGGGAAACCGGAGCUAAUACCGGAUAAUAUUUUGAACCGCAUGGUUCAAAAGUGAAAGACGGUCUUGCUGUCACUUAUAGAUGGAUCCGCGCUGCAUUAGCUAGUUGGUAAGGUAACGGCUUACCAAGGCAACGAUGCAUAGCCGACCUGAGAGGGUGAUCGGCCACACUGGAACUGAGACACGGUCCAGACUCCUACGGGAGGCAGCAGUAGGGAAUCUUCCGCAAUGGGCGAAAGCCUGACGGAGCAACGCCGCGUGAGUGAUGAAGGUCUUCGGAUCGUAAAACUCUGUUAUUAGGGAAGAACAUAUGUGUAAGUAACUGUGCACAUCUUGACGGUACCUAAUCAGAAAGCCACGGCUAACUACGUGCCAGCAGCCGCGGUAAUACGUAGGUGGCAAGCGUUAUCCGGAAUUAUUGGGCGUAAAGCGCGCGUAGGCGGUUUUUUAAGUCUGACGUGAAAGCCCACGGCUCAACCGUGGAGGGUCAUUGGAAACUGGAAAACUUGAGUGCAGAAGAGGAAAGUGGAAUUCCAUGUGUAGCGGUGAAAUGCGCAGAGAUAUGGAGGAACACCAGUGGCGAAGGCGACUUUCUGGUCUGUAACUGACGCUGAUGUGCGAAAGCGUGGGGAUCAAACAGGAUUAAAUACCCUGGUAGUCCACGCCGUAAACGAUGAGUGCUAAGUGUUAGGGGGUUUCCGCCCCUUAGUGCUGCAGCUAACGCAUUAAGCACUCCGCCUGGGGAGUACGACCGCAAGGUUGAAACUCAAAGGAAUUGACGGGGACCCGCACAAGCGGUGGAGCAUGUGGUUUAAUUCGAAGCAACGCGAAGAACCUUACCAAAUCUUGACAUCCUUUGACAACUCUAGAGAUAGAGCUUUCCCCUUCGGGGGACAAAGUGACAGGUGGUGCAUGGUUGUCGUCAGCUCGUGUCGUGAGAUGUUGGGUUAAGUCCCGCAACGAGCGCAACCCUUAAGCUUAGUUGCCAUCAUUAAGUUGGGCACUCUAAGUUGACUGCCGGUGACAAACCGGAGGAAGGUGGGGAUGACGUCAAAUCAUCAUGCCCCUUAUGAUUUGGGCUACACACGUGCUACAAUGGACAAUACAAAGGGCAGCGAAACCGCGAGGUCAAGCAAAUCCCAUAAAGUUGUUCUCAGUUCGGAUUGUAGUCUGCAACUCGACUACAUGAAGCUGGAAUCGCUAGUAAUCGUAGAUCAGCAUGCUACGGUGAAUACGUUCCCGGGUCU
This 1372-nucleotide ribosomal RNA is filed under the name uncultured bacterium. RNAcentral's name for it is "bacterial SSU rRNA". It matches the Rfam family "Bacterial small subunit ribosomal RNA", at positions 28 to 1381 of the family's 1533-position model. The record is from RNAcentral.